This is an RNA transcript of Syzygium oleosum, 2007 nucleotides long. It is a transcript of the gene named protein FLX-like 1, with no coding region annotated. The record is from RefSeq and is a predicted model, not a curated record. The transcript has 6 exons. Lineage: Eukaryota; Viridiplantae; Streptophyta; Magnoliopsida; Myrtales; Myrtaceae.
GUCCUUAAUCUCCCCUCGCUUAUGAUUAUUUCUACGGUCUUUUUAAGGUACAAUCGCCGUUGUAUUCGUUAGCGGUCGGUUUCCGUCGAAUCGAAUCCUCGGUCGCGUUUCGGUCAGGUUGGGGAAAGCAGCAGUAGAUUAUGCAACCGAUUGUUCUCAAUCGAAUCGCACCUGCUUGUUAACUGGCCUUUGUGUCAUUGCUCAAUCUUUCCCGUGCCCGCCUUUUUUGUCGCGUUUGUUCUUUUUUUUUGGGCUCCUGGAGUAGUUGUUUGUCGUUCGGUCAAAGCUUCAUCGAUCGAAAUUCACGUGAUCUGAUGUUCGGGAUGACUAGAUGGGGAUGGUUUCUGCAUGCUCGAUGUUGAUAUCGAUGUCAUCCGCUCUCGCUUUCUCCGUUCCUGCGAUUGAAUUUGCUGGCAAAUAUCCGUUGAUUCGGUUAGAAGGCCGUAUUCAUCUCUUCUUGAUAUUGCAUUUGUUGUGCUGUCAGAAAACGCAGAGAGAGAGAGAGAGAGAGACGGAGAAUGUCGGGAAGAAAUCGGGGUCCACCUCUUCCACCGAAAGGUGCUCCUCGUGCGGGGCUUCCCCCUUCCAUCCGGGAGCCUCCAUUUGGUAGAGGCCUAGGUGCAAUGCCGCAUCCAGCUUUACUGGAGGAAUUGCGCGAAUCCCAACUUGGGAUAGGCCUGGGAAGGCGGCCUCCUCACCCUGCCAUUAUCGAGGAGCGUCUUGCUGCCCAACAUGAAGAAAUUCAAGGUCUUUUGGUUGAUAAUCAGAGGUUGGCCGCGACGCAUGUUGCGCUUAAGCAGGAACUGGAAGCCGCCCAGUAUGAGUUACAAAAGAUGGUGCAGAUCUCGGAUUCCUUACGAGCAGAAAAGGAUGUUCGGAUGAGGGAGUUGUAUGAUAAAUCAGUGAGGCUAGAAGUGGAUCUGCGUGCUGUGGAGGCUAUGAGGGGUGAGCUUGUUCAGGUCAAUGCAGAUAUUAAGGAGCUUACGGGUGUUAGACAAGAGCUUAGUGGGCAGGUGCAAGCAAUGACUCAAGAUUUGGCUAGGAUGACGGCCGACCUACAGCAGGUGCCAGCAUUGCGGGCAGAGAUUGAGACCAUGAAGCAGGAGGUACAGCGUGCUAGAGCUGCUAUUGAGUAUGAAAAGAAAGGUAGUGCCGACAAUUAUGAGCAUGGUCAGGUGAUGGAGCAGAAUUUGAUUUCCAUGGCCCGUGAGUUGGAGAAGCUUCGAGCGGAGAUUGCUAAUGCAGAGAAGAGAGCUCGUGCUGCUGCUGCUGUUGGCAAUCCAGGCCACAACGCAGCUAACAACAAUCCUGAAGUUAGUUAUGCCGGAAACCCUUAUCCAGCUGGCUAUGGCCUUAAUCCUGUUCCUGCUGGUCUGGAAGGCUACACCCAAUUUGGACACAUGCCUGCUGCUUGGGGUGCAUAUGCUCCUCCUGGACACAGAUAGACUAGAUUUGCAUAUCGAUGUUACUGCUUCUGUGCUCCAGCACCUGCAUAUGGGCAAUGCUUCAGUUACUGGUCAUUAUCGAAUGAGUGGGAGAGUGCUGCAAGGGUGAUUGAAAGGACCAUCACUUGACAACCGACAGAAGAGCAUGCUGGGCGAACCUUUUGCAGCUGAUACAAAGACAGGUUGAGGAAUCUGGGGGACCACAUUCUUGUGGGGAAUAUUUUUUGCUGAGCAGUGAAACCUACGACUUCUGUCGACUUGGUUCGUUCAAGUUUCGAAUGCUUUGGCACGAUAAGGCAAAGGUCGCUGUGGCUCGCACUUUGCCAAUUAUGGAUCGUGAAUAGUAAUACUGCGUGUAGCCUCUUUGGCGGCCCACUUCUUCCCUCGCUCUUUUCCUCCGCCCAUUUCUCUCUUUCUCUCGGCCCGGCCUUCUUCCCUCCCAACUUUCUCUCUCACAAGCUCGAGCAGCAGCAAGGUCGUGAGGGUGAGCGAUGAGCGGGGGAAGGACGCGUGUCCCAAUGUAAAUGGCGAGAAUUCCCCUCCAACCGCCUGCAGAGAGCGU